This 460-nucleotide ribosomal RNA is filed under the name uncultured bacterium. RNAcentral's name for it is "partial 16S ribosomal RNA". It matches the Rfam family "Bacterial small subunit ribosomal RNA", at positions 338 to 795 of the family's 1533-position model. The record is from RNAcentral.
CCUACGGGUGGCAGCAGUGAGGAAUAUUGGUCAAUGGGCGUAAGCCUGAACCAGCCAAGUCGCGUGAGGGAUGAAGGUUCUAUGGAUCGUAAACCUCUUUUAUAAGGGAAUAAAGUGAGGGACGUGUCCUGUUUUGCAUGUACCUUAUGAAUAAGGAUCGGCUAACUCCGUGCCAGCAGCCGCGGUAAUACGGAGGAUCCGAGCGUUAUCCGGAUUUAUUGGGUUUAAAGGGUGCGUAGGUGGCUUUUUAAGUCAGCGGUGAAAGUUUGUGGCUCAACCAUAGAAUUGCCGUUGAUACUGGGAGGCUUGAGUAUAUUUGAGGCAGGCGGAAUGCGUGGUGUAGCGGUGAAAUGCUUAGAUAUCACGCAGAACCCCGAUUGCGAAGGCAGCUUACCAAUCUGUAUCUGACGUUGAGGCACGAAAGUGUGGGUAUCAAACAGGAUUAGAUACCCCUGUAGUC